UGAAUAAAAUGACUUAAACUGCGGUUACGUGGUCAUUUGAGAACUGUGAUGAGUAUACAAUGGUUUUUAUGCUCACGACAAUUUUCAAAGCAUCUCUAUGUUUAUGCUCAUCACAGUUCUUGAUUACCCACUAAACCGAUGUUUAAAAAACCUUUAUGUUUA
RNAcentral lists this microRNA precursor (162 nucleotides) under Arabidopsis lyrata. RNAcentral's name for it is "miR3433 stem-loop (aly-MIR3433)". Lineage: Eukaryota; Viridiplantae; Streptophyta; Magnoliopsida; Brassicales; Brassicaceae. The record is from miRBase by way of RNAcentral.